ACCAUUUGUACUGAUUUAUUGAUUGUCAAUUUGAACAACAAUCAACACACAUAAUACGGCAAUAGGCCAGAGACAACUUAAAGCAUCACAUUCAAAAUCUUUGGUAAACAUAAUGAAUAUUCAUAAUCACUAAUAAAUGUAAAUUAUCAAAGUCAUGAAUAUUCAUAAACACUAAAUAUGACUGUACAUAUUAUUUCUGUGUAAAAUAUCUAUCCUAUAUAAUUAAUAUGUAAUUUAAAAUAUAUAUUUGCAGAACUCCUGCAUCAAGCAUUUGAAUAUUUUUUUUAUCAACUGGUCAUCUUUGUUUAAAUUAAUGAGAUCUGCAUGUAAGAAAACUCUCAAUAGAUAAAGAAGUUGAAUUAUUCAUAUUUUUGGGAAAUUUUCCAUUUCUUGUUUUCCCAACAGGUAAAUUUUUUGACCCUAUGAAAUCACAAAAAACUUGCCUUGAAAAUGUAAAGCAAAUGCCUAUUUCAGAAUGAUAUAAUUGCAAUAAGUCUACAAGAGUUACAAUACAUAGGCUUUGUAUGUGCAAUUUUGAGCACAUUGAGAUUCAAAAAUAACCUUCAAUGGCACUGUAUAUCAAUCAGGUUAAAAACUUUUAAUUUGUAAGAAUGGGUUUCUUUUGGGAACAAUUAAAGAAAACAAGAUUUUGUUAGCUUUGCAGAUCUGACCAGUUGAUAAAAAAAAAUAAAAAAUUAUGGUAAAACAAAUUCUGCUGUAAAACAUAUAGUGAAACCUGUCUCAACUGAACCAUUAACAGGAAAUGUUUUGCAAUGUUUGCAGAAACCUAAAAAAAAAUCUGUUGCAACAAAGUACAAGAAAGGUUUCACUAUAUGACAUGAAUUAUAAUCUAUUAUCUAUUCUACUAAAUGGCACACCAAUAAACACCGACAGGGAAAUCUGAUUAAAAUCUAUGACGAUUGGAUAAAAGUUAAAAUUCAAAAACACAAUUUGUUACAAAUUAAAGCUUAUUAAAAAAGAUCUCUGGUUUUUGUCUUAGCUGCUUGAAAAUAAUGCUAAACACUGUAAUGUGAAACAAAUAACUGGAGGGAACUCCAAUUCGUGAGACUUUUUAUGUUGAUGAUAAAAAUAUCAACUUAUGUUUACAGAAUAUCUGAUUAACUUAAAGUAUUGUUCUACAGCCUAAACAACAUUAAAAACCAAUAACAAUGUAUAAAGUUAUAAAGUCAUUCUGUCCUUCUAUGCUACAAAUCUCAUUUUUACAAAAAUAACGUUUAUUUCAAAAUAGGACCAGGAAUACUCCUGGAGGUUUCAAUUAAAAGAUCCAAUAAUUUCAAUAAAAUAUAAUCCUGAAAUUGUCAGGGUUUUACCAUGAUUUUCCACAUCAAAAUUUUAAGAAGGAAAGAACUGAAUGUCUUUAUGAAGAAGUUGCUGUUACAUAAAAUAAUACAAUAACUUAACAAAACAAGUAUAAGGUAUACUCUAAUUAAUAGGAACAUCAUGUUUUGUUUUCUUAUUGAAGAGGGUUGUCACAUGCAUUGAACAACAUAAAUAAAAGGAGGAUCCUGUGAAAAUAUCAAACAAGUCAGGUUUUUUGUAUGAAACAUGGUGAAUAAUAAAAAUGAAAAAAUGCAACAUAAAUUUUUUACCUAAAUGUAAUUUGUAAACAUGUUGCACAAAAAUAAUACUUUACAAAGAUCCAAAAAUAUCUCACUUGUACCAAAUUCUAGAUUUCAUCAGGAAUUUCAUUGAAUUUAAGGAAUUUAUGGAAUAAAUCUAGAUAAAGAAUUUACAUCUUACUGGGAGAUAACUCUUAUCAAAUUUAAAAAUAAGAAACUCAGACAACUCUCGACCAGAGACAAAAUGACACAGUAGUGUAAAACAACUAAAGGUUAAUCUUUAUAUCUACGUCUAUAUGGAAGAUGAAUCUUUUGAAUGUUUAUUUACAUCUGAAUUGAUGAUACAUAUUGUUGGAUAUUUUUUUCAAAUCUAUAUGGGAAAUAACUCUUAGUGAUUGUUUAACUACAUCAAUAAGGGAGAUAAGUCUUAUUAAAUGUUUAUUUACACCAAUAAGGGAGAUAACUCUUGAUGAUGUGUAUUUACAUUUAUAUGGGAGAUGCAUUUUUUGAAUGUGUAUUUACAAUUAUAUCAGAAAUAAAUCUUUUGAAUGUGUAUUUACAUCUAUGCGGGAGAUACAUAAAUCAUUUUGAAUACCUAUCUACACCAAUAUGGGUGAUAAUCCUUACUUGAUAUUUUUUAGUAUCAAGUUGGUUACAAAGACAUUUAUUUUCUCUCAAAAAAACAAAACAUGAUGUUCAUAAUUUUAAAAUCUAACACAAUACUUUAACAAAAUAAUGCUGUAAUUUAAUUACAUAAUUAAUACUUAUACAAAC
Molecule: long non-coding RNA, 2354 nt
Filed under: Mytilus galloprovincialis (Mediterranean mussel)
Lineage: Eukaryota; Metazoa; Mollusca; Bivalvia; Mytilida; Mytilidae
Source: RNAcentral